CAGAUGUUGCUGUUAUAAUUUUAAGACAGAUGGACCGGAAUGAUCUGGCAGAUGCAAUUGAAGAGGACGAAGACUCAGAUGACGACUGAGUAAAUGAAGCUGGCCGUCAACAGGUGACAAGAAAAGAGCAACAGGCAUUCAUCAUCAUCA
This is a long non-coding RNA of Scomber japonicus (chub mackerel), 150 nucleotides long. RefSeq lists it as uncharacterized. Lineage: Eukaryota; Metazoa; Chordata; Actinopteri; Scombriformes; Scombridae. The transcript has 3 exons. The record is from RefSeq and is a predicted model, not a curated record.